AUGAAGCAAGGGUGGGCAAGGCCCU
Molecule: non-coding RNA, 25 nt
Filed under: Mus musculus (house mouse)
Lineage: Eukaryota; Metazoa; Chordata; Mammalia; Rodentia; Muridae
Source: RNAcentral